AGUGAACGCUGGCGGUAGGCCUAACACAUGCAAGUCGAACGGCAGCACAGUAAGAGCUUGCUCUUAUGGGUGGCGAGUGGCGGACGGGUGAGGAAUACAUCGGAAUCUACUUUUUCGUGGGGGAUAACGUAGGGAAACUUACGCUAAUACCGCAUACGACCUACGGGUGAAAGCAGGGGAUCUUCGGACCUUGCGCGAUUGAAUGAGCCGAUGUCGGAUUAGCUAGUUGGCGGGGUAAAGGCCCACCAAGGCGACGAACCGUAGCUGGUCUGAGAGGCUGAUCAGCCACACUGGAACUGAGACACGGUCCAGACUCCUACGGGAGGCAGCAGUGGGGAAUAUUGGACAGUGGGCGCAAGCCUGAUCCAGCCAUACCGCGUGGGUGAAGAAGGCCUUCGGGUUGUAAAGCCCUUUUGUUGGGAAAGAAAAGCAGCAGGUUAAUACCCCGCUGUUCUGACGGUACCCAAAGAAUAAGCACCGGCUAACUUCGUG
Molecule: ribosomal RNA, 492 nt
Filed under: uncultured bacterium
Lineage: Bacteria
Description: partial 16S ribosomal RNA
Rfam family: Bacterial small subunit ribosomal RNA
Source: RNAcentral